CCCGUCACAUCACGAAAGUGAAUUGUACUAGAAGUCUGCAGGCUAACCCGCAAGGGAGGCAGCGGCCCAAGGUAUGAUCCAUGAUUGGGUG
RNAcentral lists this ribosomal RNA (91 nucleotides) under uncultured bacterium. RNAcentral describes it as "partial 16S ribosomal RNA". The record is from RNAcentral.